Molecule: long non-coding RNA, 315 nt
Filed under: Elaeis guineensis (African oil palm)
Lineage: Eukaryota; Viridiplantae; Streptophyta; Magnoliopsida; Arecales; Arecaceae
Description: long non-coding RNA (EGUI_LNC033460)
Source: RNAcentral
CCCUGAGAUCAUGGAGGGGUGAAGAUGGUCCUUCUUCCUCAGCUCUCUCUUCUACACCUUUAGUCCAACCACUAUCAGUCCUAGUAAAUCCCAUGCGGUGCAGAGUAUGUUGGUUGAUGGUGUCAUAGUGAGAAAGCCUAGCUACUGCCUCUCCCUCAAAACUAACUCCAAACCUCCUGAAUACCAAAGUGAGGGCCAUACCGAAAGGCAGAUGUGCCUUGGAUCUAUUCAGGGUUUCUCUCAUGGCCUCAAUCAUUAAUGCUGGGAGGUUCAGGGGGGUUUGGGUAAUCACAUGAAACAUAAUGCAGAUGUCUC